UAUUUCUAGAAUGAACUCAAUCCGAUACUUACAAUUUCUCUUUCAUUUCAUAUGUAAGAUCGGAUUGUGAUGGUUUUCUCAGCAGAACGAUCAUGUCAAUUGUACUUUCGUAUGAAAAGGUAGUUUUAUGUCUUAUGCAGUGAUGUGAUAGCGUGGAUGGCUUGGUUGAGGCGUAAAUUUGAAGUUUUGACUUGAGCUUGUCUUAAUUAGUCAAUUAGCAAUAG
Long non-coding RNA from Rhodamnia argentea, 224 nucleotides. RefSeq lists it as uncharacterized. The record is from RefSeq and is a predicted model, not a curated record. NCBI's taxonomy places the organism in Eukaryota, Viridiplantae, Streptophyta, Magnoliopsida, Myrtales, Myrtaceae. The transcript is spliced from 3 exons.